CAGUCGCCGCGGUAAUACGAAGUGUGCAAGCGUUAAUCGGAAUUACUGGGCGUAAAGCGUGCGUAGGCGGUUUGUUAAGUCUGUUGUGAAAGCCCUGGGCUCAACCUGGGAAUUGCAGUGGAUACUGGGUCACUAGAGUGUGGUAGAGGAUAGUGGAAUUUCCGGUGUAGCAGUGAAAUGCGUAGAGAUCGGAAGGAACAUCUGUGGCGAAGGCGACUAUCUGGGCCAACACUGACACUGAGGCACGAAAGCGUGGGGAGCAAACAGGAUUAGAUACCCCCGUAGUCCCUGUCUCUUAUAC
RNAcentral lists this ribosomal RNA (301 nucleotides) under uncultured bacterium. Its description in RNAcentral is "partial 16S ribosomal RNA". It matches the Rfam family "Bacterial small subunit ribosomal RNA", at positions 509 to 807 of the family's 1533-position model. The record is from RNAcentral.